GUCCUUGCCGUAAACGAUGUGGAUUAGGUGUUGGGGUGUUGAUCCCCCGGCGCCGCAGCUAACGCAUUAAAUCCACCACCUGGGGAGUACGGUCGCAAGACUGAAACUCAAAGAAAUUGACGGGGACCCGCACAAGCGGUGGAGCAUGUGGUUUAAUUCGAGGCUACGCGAAGAACCUUACCCAGGCUUGACAUGGUUAAGACAGCGCAUGAAAGUGCGUUUCUCCGCAAGGAGCUUUUCCACAGGUGCUGCAUGGCUGUCGU
Molecule: ribosomal RNA, 263 nt
Filed under: uncultured bacterium
Lineage: Bacteria
Description: partial 16S ribosomal RNA
Rfam family: Bacterial small subunit ribosomal RNA
Source: RNAcentral